This 776-nucleotide long non-coding RNA is filed under the name Anas platyrhynchos platyrhynchos (common mallard). Its description in RNAcentral is "lncRNA (ENSAPLG00000017917.1)". The record is from RNAcentral. Lineage: Eukaryota; Metazoa; Chordata; Aves; Anseriformes; Anatidae.
CAAAAUCUCUUCGGGCUCUAAAGUGCAAGCAGAAACACGGUCUCUGAAUUGUGUAGAGAAGAGAAAUGUAAUGAACCCAUCAUGAGAUUAAAGACGAAUCAAAAUUCAUCAGCAACAUUUAGAGAGAAAGAUUAAAAACUCAAGAGAUGAAAACUUGAAUAGAAACCUUGACACUACUUGUGAACUAGCAUUGCUGGGUGACAACAAUGAGUUUCUUGUGGAUUUCUUUCUUCUUGGAUACAAAAUUCAAUGACUUCUUUUUCCUGAGCAAGAAUCAAGAGAACAUAUUUUGUGAAACCAAGAAAUCUUUGAAGGCCUUCUGACAACUUCAAAAUCAGCAUGCUUUUAAACUGUGAUACCACAUCAAUGGAUUUUUCUUUAAGACAGAUUGUGACUGGGAAGAAGAAGAAGAAGAAGAAGAAGAAGGAGAAGAAGAAGAAGAAGAAGAAGAAGAAGAAGAAGAAGAAAAGAAAAAAGAAAAAAAAAGAAGAGAGAGAACUUCAAAGGUUACAGCUAGAAAAGAAAAGGAAAGAAAUGGCAGUGUAAUCAUCAAUCUACUACAUGGCAAGAACACAUUCUUGCUUUCCUCAGAAAAUAUGGCUUUUCAGUUCCAUGGCAAAAUGCUUUCAAGAUUUAAUGAAAGACAAGUCGCUGCCAAAAUAAAUAAUUUUUCCAAAUGGGGACCUGGGGCAGAAAAACUUACUCUAGAGUGCUCCUGUAAUUUCCAGAGUGUUUUGCUUUCUACACAGCACCCUAUUAAACAGAAUUACACAUAG